RNAcentral lists this ribosomal RNA (253 nucleotides) under uncultured bacterium. RNAcentral's name for it is "partial 16S ribosomal RNA". It matches the Rfam family "Bacterial small subunit ribosomal RNA", at positions 524 to 776 of the family's 1533-position model. The record is from RNAcentral.
GACGUAGGGGGCCAGCGUUGUUCGGAAUUACUGGGUGUAAAGGGUUCGUAGGCGGUGCGGCAAGUUGGGAGUGAAAUCUCUGGGCUUAACCCAGAGGCUGCUUCCAAAACUGCUGUGCUUGAGUGUGGGAGAGGCGCGUGGAAUUGCAGGUGUAGCGGUGUAAUGCGUAGAUAUCUGCAGGAACACCCGUGGCGAAAGCGGCGCGCUGGACCACUACUGACGCUGAGGAACGAAAGCUAGGGGAGCAAACAGG